RNAcentral lists this ribosomal RNA (305 nucleotides) under uncultured bacterium. RNAcentral describes it as "bacterial SSU rRNA". It matches the Rfam family "Bacterial small subunit ribosomal RNA", at positions 338 to 659 of the family's 1533-position model. The record is from RNAcentral.
CCUACGGGAGGCAGCAGUGGGGAAUAUUGCACAAUGGGGGAAACCCUGAUGCAGCGACGCCGCGUGGGUGAAGAAGUAUUUCGGUAUGUAAAGCCCUAUCAGCAGGGAAGAAGAAUGACGGUACCUGACUAAGAAGCACCGGCUAAAUACGUGCCAGCAGCCGCGGUAAUACGUAUGGUGCAAGCGUUAUCCGGAUUUACUGGGUGUAAAGGGAGCGCAGGCGGCACGCUAAGCCUGAUGUGAAAACCCGCGGCCCAACCGCGGGAGUGCAUUGGGAACUGGCGAGCUAGAGUACCGGAGGGGCG